This 74-nucleotide transfer RNA is filed under the name Glaucocystis nostochinearum. RNAcentral describes it as "tRNA-Arg". It matches the Rfam family "tRNA". Rfam says of the family: Transfer RNA (tRNA) molecules are approximately 80 nucleotides in length. The record is from RNAcentral. Lineage: Eukaryota; Glaucocystophyceae; Glaucocystales; Glaucocystaceae.
AUGCUCGUAGCUCAAUAGGAUAGAGCAACAAACUACGAAUUUGUAGGUUGAGAGUUCAAAUCUUUCCGAGCAUG